AGUAAAAGUCGUAACAAGGUUUCCGUAGGUGAACCUGCGGAAGGAUCAUUACAAAAUACCUACGCCGGCCUCUCGGGGCUGUGUGUUUCUAUUUACCCACCCUUUGCCUAUGUGUACCCUUAUCGCUUCCUCGGCAGGUCCGCCUGCCGCCAGGAACCCCAUAAACCCUUUGCAUUUAUACAAGAAAACUUCUGAUACAAACCUAAAUUAUUACAACUUUUAACAAUGGAUCUCUUGGUUCUGGCAUCGAUGAAGAACGCAGCGAAAUGCGAUAAGUAGUGUGAAUUGCAGAAUUCAGUGAAUCAUCGAAUCUUUGAACGCACAUUGCGCCCCUCGGUAUUCCGUGGGGCACGCCUGUUCGAGCGUCAUUUACACCCUCAAGCCUAGCUUGGUGUUGGGCGUCUGUCCCGCAUUCGUUGCGCGGACUCGCCUCAAAGUCAUUGGCGGCGGUCGUGCCGGCUCCUCGCGCGGCACAUUUGCGCUUCUCGGAGGCCCGGCGGAUCAGCAUCCAGCAAGCUACUUUUUAUGACUUGACCUCGGAUCAGGUGAGGAUACCCGCUGAACUUAAGCAUAUCAAUAAGCGGAGGA
This 588-nucleotide ribosomal RNA is filed under the name uncultured fungus. RNAcentral describes it as "eukaryotic LSU rRNA". The stretch from base 215 to 368 matches the Rfam family "5.8S ribosomal RNA". Lineage: Eukaryota; Fungi. The record is from RNAcentral.